Molecule: long non-coding RNA, 329 nt
Filed under: Eutrema salsugineum
Lineage: Eukaryota; Viridiplantae; Streptophyta; Magnoliopsida; Brassicales; Brassicaceae
Description: long non-coding RNA (ESAL_LNC000095)
Source: RNAcentral
UAUGCCUUGAUAUGUCCGAUCUUGCCACAGUAAUAGCACUCUCGUCUUUUUCGCAGUUUGGUGACAGAUCUUUGAUCUUCAGGCCGGUUGUAUCCUGAUGAAACAAACUUGAUUUCAUCUGAGCUCUUCUGUUCCCUUCCACUGUACCCCAAUCCAUGCUUUGUAUUGGCUUGACAUCCGUAGCUCAGGAUCUUGUCUAGUUGCUUGGUUCCUGCGAACAUCUGAAUCUGCUUCUUUAGCUGAUCUAGUUCAGACUCCAGCUUCUCCGAUAUCUGCUUUUCAACCUUUAAAUGCUGCCUCAGACCUUCAGCUUUGUUGGCUAACUCCAG